AGUCCACCAUCUUGCUCGUCACCAGCUCCAGGGCCCCAGGGUCCACGCCUUUGGGAGUCUCCCCCGACGGCACGGCGAACCCCCCACGAGGAGCCGGGGCCCGCUCCGGGAACUUUUCAAAGGGCUCCAGUUGCGGGCCGUAGACGGGGGAGCCCAGGACCUUGAGGGGGACGCCGCCACCGUACUUGCCCGACGCCUCCUCCGCGGCUCCUGGCGGCUUGGCCCGGAACCCGUUGCCCCGACAUUCGCCGUUGUCCGCGGCGGGGUAGGAGGCUCCGUCAGCCACGGGGGCCUUGGCGGGCUCGUACGCGUACUUGCGGUAGCGGCCCUCGGGCCCCUCGUCGGCGGCCUUGCGCUUCAGCGACAGCCCGGAUUCGGCACCCGGCGCGGCCGUGGGGAAGCCAUAGGCGGUGGGC
Molecule: long non-coding RNA, 416 nt
Filed under: Homo sapiens (human)
Lineage: Eukaryota; Metazoa; Chordata; Mammalia; Primates; Hominidae
Description: HSALNT0189050
Source: RNAcentral